This is a long non-coding RNA of Mya arenaria, 444 nucleotides long. RefSeq lists it as uncharacterized. The record is from RefSeq and is a predicted model, not a curated record. Lineage: Eukaryota; Metazoa; Mollusca; Bivalvia; Myida; Myidae. The transcript has 3 exons.
ACAAGGGGAUGAGCCACAGUAUUCUGGUUCUGAAACUCAGCUGACACCUUUAUAAUUGGCAUCACAAGACCAAAGAACAGUUUCAUCUGACGUGUCUCUUGACUUACCUAGCACCACUGAACACAAGGUAUUUCUGUCUUGGCGCGGCGCACUUCGAUUCAUCUUAGCAGCAUACUAAGAAGUUGCCUGGUCCAAUACAAGAUACGGGAUAGGUAUUUCUGUCUUGGCGCGGCGCACUUCGAUUCAUCUUAGCAGCAUACUAAGAAGUUGCUUGGUCCAAUACAAGAUACAGGAUAGGUCAGUGAUGGUUAUAGAAGCAGUCAGGAGUGAAUUGUGCACUGGAAAAACAUUCUAGAGUGGAAUAAAAAACUUGGGUCAGCUUUUUGUGAAAAGUGAAAAAAGUGACUUUCCGAAUGUUGAUUUUUUUGCAUAAUCUGGAGUUGU